GAUAUUGAUGGUUUGCGUACGCGGGAAGAUACUCUCUCUAGCAAGCCAUGGAACGCAGAGAAGGUGGGUGCUGACACACUAAACCCGGAGGCUUAGGGGUGACUCUCUCUCCCUCUCGAGGGAUGCAGCGGCGGUAUAGAGGGGAGAGUAUUGAUGUGUUACCCUCGGAGAGUAGGGGUAGCGCUCCCUCUAGAUCUCCUGGGCCGGUUCCUCACACGUUGGGAACUCACAAGAGUUUAGGGGGUUCGGUCACUUCUCGCUAGAGUACCUCGCUAAUGCGUGUGCCAGUCUAGCCUUCGACGCACUGUGCGAACCUCUCAGGCUGUUUCUGGAGUGUGGCCUACCCCAUUCUGUACACUACCUGGUUAUGUUCGAAUGGUACCGAUGCACCUGAUGCACGCCAGGUACAGGUGUUGACAGUGGUAGUUGCUUCCAGUACUGAGCCAGGGUCAACUUCUUCAGCUACUUGCUCACGUACCUAGUGCUUCGUGGACGAUUCGCCCAACACGUAUCCCUACGUGGUACGGGUGUCUGUGGUGAUGGUUGCUUCUCGUUAUGUAGUGGCUACGCCUUCUACUACUGGUCUAGAUACAGUCUUUCCGGCUCCCGAACCCAUGGUCUAGAGUAUCGUCUAGUGUUCUUUCUUCUACGAACGGCUUUUACACCCGAUUCACUAUUAGAACAUAGAACAUGUUGUACAUGUAUACGUAAAGUGGCCUUUACAGACCAAGGAACGGAUUUAUAGUGUAGACUAUUCACCUCGACGGGACUUACACAUUCGGGUGACUGUCUCUACCUCUUCUAUAAUCUAACACUUUGCUUCCAACGAAGACUUCUCUGAUCAAGAAGCCUCAGACCUAGUUUAUUCUUUGGACAGUUCGUUAUAGACUAUUUUACCUUUCCUAAUAGUGUGUAAGUGACGUGAACCCACAGUCUUCUACUUAUAAAACUCCGACGCUUCUAUGUGGGAGCCAACUUUUGAUCUAACUUAUUGAAGUUAUCUGUCAAACUCAGCUGCCUAUUUAGACUGCUACUGAUACAAGGUUAAUCCGGACUUACCUGUUGACAACUGUCCCAGGAACGAUCGUCUUUUUUGAGAUCACCACUUUCCCUCAUGAUACACUUUACCUUCCUUGAAAGCAUGCUACUUACGUGUACCCUUUCACUCAGACUGUAGAGCCACAAAGUUGGAGUCUAACUCGCGAUGUUACUCUAAGACAGGUUCGCGUUCUUUAGAUGACUGUUCUCAUUCUUACGGCUAGCACGCUACGCAGUACGACUUCCCUGAGGGCUCAAAGAAUGACCACCGUGUGAUGUGGGAAUAGUCGAACUUCCCAAUUUGAAAGACGCAAUAAGUACCAGAUAAUUAUUUGCACAGUAGGAACCACUACUCUACCCAGAACCCUUUUGUUAUGUUUCAUAACGAAAAGACCGGAGACACAGACUUCUGUUCAAACCAGGGGUAGAUCAACAACGGGGAGAGAGUUGGAACGCUUUAACCCUCGCACUUAAACGUUGAACCCGUGGAGUUUACUUACAAUAAUACAUAAAGCCUAGACCUAGAAGAGCACUGUAAUAGUUCUUCAUACUUAAAAUGAUAAGGUUUCUAUUAGGAUUCUUCGACUUCUUUUUAUUUAGUAGAAGUAGAUUACUGCUUUUCUUCGUCAGUUCUUAUUUUAAACUACAGGAAAACUGUAGAAUACUCUACUAAUUGUACCUAAGACGUCAGGACUUUUGAUAUCUUACCCUCACGUACUAACACCUACUCCCCGUGGCGAACUUCUUGUUUCUAAGUUUCAACAAACCAGAUGAAUUCCUAAUAGUAUGAGUUGUAGCACAAGAGAAUUGCCCCUGGGGUCAAGUCUUAUUGGACCUACUCGAAAAGUACGACUACGUGAAGGAGCUCCCACUUUGAAAACCCUCAUAUAGACUAGAGGUUCUCCUCAAAUUCCUAUAGUUGGUUCUGUUCGUUCAGCUCUUCGAGGUACCUUACGACUUCGGUGUGGAAGAAGCCUCUAAGUUCUUUCUACAAUACUUCCUUGAAGGAGGUUUUUUCCUCGACUAAAAUGCUCAGCUCGACUGUUCGUUUGUCUUUCUUAUGAUGUUCCGUUAAGAGUGGUUCUUGAUGCGGCACAAUAGAGCAGCACCACCACCUGUACAAAGGGAAUAUUUACAGCAUUACCUCGACGCGUUUGAAACAACGGUACCUAAGUACUGCCUACUUGGACUAUGACUCGGACGCUCGGGUCUUCUUCCAAAUUCCUCCGAAAAUCUAAGAAGACCUUUCUACGUUGAUAAUCUGUUCUACUACCACUUCGACUUUCUCGUCCCAGUAUCUCAGGAAUAGAUAAGUGUCAAGGUUGUAUACAACCUGAAUGACCUCCUAAUAAAUUCGAUGUCCUUUACCUCGAUGCUUGCAUAACUACCGUUCUAUCCACCGCGACUUUCCGUCUAUGCUUAUCUAGCGAAGUUACGAUUCUGAAGAUGAUCCAAGACGAAAGAAGAAAGAUGAUCUCGACCACCGAACCCAUAUUUAAACCGUUGCCGACUAUGACAUUAAUAGAUACUGUCACUGACCUUAGGUGUGCGCCUAGAUGUUCGAUACCGUUCUCGGGUAGCAAAUCCCGUCUGAUCGUUCCAAUACUAUAUAUCUGAACAAUCAGCUCCAUGUUAACUCCUCGCUUACUACGUCGAAUGUUUCUUUUUCUACUAUGACCUUGUGAAUCAACAACCCUCUGAGUGUUUCCGAUCGUUACAGUUAGUCCUCCUCAAUCUACUAUAAUAGGCCAUACCCAGUUUUCUUGAAAAACUACUACUGCUCCUACUUCGACCUUUCAGGGCGGUUUAUGUAAUACUACUACGACGUUAUCUAUCCAAUAACCUGGCACUGGUUCAGCUGCUCCUUCUUAUAAACCUUCUACUUCUUCUACUGCUUAAAGACUUUCCAAAGUUCCAACGCUUGAAGCUCAUGUAUCUACUCCGAUUUCGAAAUCGUCGUUUUCUCCUCCGUGCGUUUUUUCGCCUUCGACUUCGGCGUAGGUUAUUUCGUUUGAUAACCCUUCUUAAUAACUUUCUGUCUACGCAACUCGUUCUUCAUCUUCUUUAACGAUACCCUUUUCCUUUUUCUUCGGCGUUCGUCUACCGACGACGACUACUCCUACUGUAAUGACCGGACGUGCUCAAUUCAAGACUUCUGCUCCUAAUGAGGAUACUACUACUACACAGCCUAUUACUGUGCUCAAAUGGUCGUUUACAAAGACCCUCCUUCCGAGUCAUAAGAUUCUUUUUGAGUGCAUUACAUCUAAGUGAGGGAAACUACCUCCCACUUCCCGCACGAAAUUUUCAAAUACCUAAGUUAGUGCAAGUUGCUUGUGUUAAGGAUGUCUGUGAGUACUCCAUACCAAAAGUCUUGAUACUAACCUUUCUCAUAGAAGGAGCAAACUUCCCCUUUUCACAGCUCCUUUAAGUCUCUAUACCGCUCGAACAGUACCGGGUAGAACAUCUCCUGUGUUUACUGAGUGGUUGGAUACGUCUACCACACGGCUUCCUUUACGCACGACUACUCUGUAACCAGUCCGAUCGGUUUUAUAGUGAACACCUCCUCUUCCACCGACGGUACCUCGUUCCUUUUUAAUGUUUUGAGAAGGGGUUGAUGAACAACGUACUUAAAUGACCGAAUAGUCCACCUUCUUAUACCUUUCCCCUUGUACUAGAUGACAAUGACUUUCGUGAUUAUUUCGUGCCCAUACGGUCCACCGUCAUGUAUAGUCUACUGUCUCUAUUGCCCGAUAAACUUUGACGAGCUGCCCUCGAAUUAGAAGGAAGACGAUUACUUAACUAAUCAAGAGUCAGUUUGUUACUCCGUUUACCUUUAGACCUUUUGUGUGUCCUUCACGUCCACUUGGGUUGCUCGAAUAGAGUUAUGUCCCUGUAGGUCUCUUUCUAACAACUCAAAUAGUCUUUCUCUAUGGUAUAAGACCUUUUUACGAACCUGUAACUUAUACGGCACUAUUUUUGUUUAUGAGGACAAGGACUACUAGAAUGACUUGUUUUACAAGGAUACCCUGUAUCGGGUCGACAAGGUCUAUAGUCACUUCACAACUCUCUUGAAGGGGGAGAACAUGGUUAAAGACGGUUUCUUCACCGAAGACUACCGAGUUGACUGGUCCGUGUGGAAAGGGUAGAAAUGUUGUUCUACACGCCACACGAACUUCUGUCGCCGGGUGCACGUGAGUUAAGUAAGACGCCACUGUUCCGUCGGAGACGCUCAGAUCGGUUGUCGGAGGUAGUCAAGCUCUUUCAUACGCUCCUGCAACUAGCCCAGAACUCUCAGGUUCUCUUGCCACGACGAUGGGGGUUUCUCGUUCACCAUCUACGGUCACAGCUUCUUCGGUUCGGAGGUGUUCUACGUCCGCAACACCGCCGCUUGCCACAGCCCGGAAGCUGACAUUUCGGCCUCCUGUUUUACCUUUAGCUACCAACUACAAAUCCCUAUUCUUGACAUAGCCUGGGGGAGAAGUCAAAUCAACGAAGUCAAAUCAACGAUUUGACCAAGAUCAGAUGGAACAACAUUAACUUUCGAUCCGUGGUCAUCAGUCAUGAUUACUAAUGGGCAUGGUUUAAAAGGACAGAGCAUACGAACGCAACAAAAUAGGUCUGUAACUCUCCGAUGGCAACACAUUGCGGGUGCUACGCCGAUAUAGAGAGUACACAGCUCCGUACUGAACGAGAACCCACGCAAGAACGUUCUCAACGUUUUA
Molecule: ribosomal RNA, 4760 nt
Filed under: Triticum aestivum (bread wheat)
Lineage: Eukaryota; Viridiplantae; Streptophyta; Magnoliopsida; Poales; Poaceae
Description: partial small subunit ribosomal RNA
Source: RNAcentral